AACGCACCUUGCACUCUUUGGUAUUCCGAAGAGUAUGUCUGUUUGAGUGUCAUGAAACUCUCAACCCCCUCAUUUUGUAAAGAAGUGUAGCGUGGGCUUGGAUUGUGGCUGUUGAUGGCUUGAUGCCAACUCGGCUGAAAUACACUGAGCGGCCCGUAGAAAACACAGAGACGGCUUGACUUGGCGUGAUAACUAUUUCGCUGAGGACGUCCCUAUUUUCAAAGUCGGCGCUUCUAAUGCAUCUAAAUCUUAAGCUUUAGACCUCAAAUCAGGCAGGACUACCCGCUGAACUUAA
Molecule: unclassified non-coding RNA, 295 nt
Filed under: uncultured Typhula
Lineage: Eukaryota; Fungi; Basidiomycota; Agaricomycetes; Agaricales; Typhulaceae
Description: partial contains 5.8S ribosomal RNA, internal transcribed spacer 2, and large subunit ribosomal RNA
Rfam family: 5.8S ribosomal RNA (bases 1-52)
Source: RNAcentral